GGCGGCAGGCCUAACACAUGCAAGUCGAGCGCACUCUUCGGAGUGAGCGGCGGACGGGUUAGUAACGCGUGGGAAUAUGCCCUUCUCUAAGGAAUAGCCACUGGAAACGGUGAGUAAUACCUUAUACGCCCUUCGGGGGAAAGAUUUAUCGGAGAAGGAUUAGCCCGCGUAAGAUUAGAUAGUUGGUGGGGUAAUGGCCUACCAAGUCUACGAUCUUUAGCUGGUUUUAGAGGAUGAUCAGCAACACUGGGACUGAGACACGGCCCAGACUCCUACGGGAGGCAGCAGUGGGGAAUCUUGGACAAUGGGCGCAAGCCUGAUCCAGCCAUGCCGCGUGAGUGAUGAAGGCCUUAGGGUCGUAAAGCU
Molecule: ribosomal RNA, 366 nt
Filed under: uncultured Alphaproteobacteria bacterium
Lineage: Bacteria; Pseudomonadati; Pseudomonadota; Alphaproteobacteria
Description: bacterial SSU rRNA
Rfam family: Bacterial small subunit ribosomal RNA
Source: RNAcentral